GUGCUCACUUUGGCAGCACAUAUACUGAAGUUGGAAUGAUACAAAGAAGACUAGCAUGGCUCCUGAGCAAGGAAAUGCAAUUUCAUUAAGCAUUUCAUAAAAAA
Phyllostomus discolor (pale spear-nosed bat) is the source of this 104-nucleotide small nuclear RNA. NCBI's taxonomy places the organism in Eukaryota, Metazoa, Chordata, Mammalia, Chiroptera, Phyllostomidae. The record is from RefSeq and is a predicted model, not a curated record.